RNAcentral lists this ribosomal RNA (473 nucleotides) under uncultured bacterium. RNAcentral describes it as "bacterial SSU rRNA". It matches the Rfam family "Bacterial small subunit ribosomal RNA", at positions 34 to 507 of the family's 1533-position model. The record is from RNAcentral.
CGCUGGCGGCGUGCUUAAUACAUGCAAGUCAACUGAACUUAAGAUAGCAAUAUUUUAAGGGAGGUGGCGCACGGGUGAGUAACACGUAGGUAAUCUGCCUUUAGGUCUGACACAACCCCGAGAAAUCGGGGCUAAUAUCAGAUGAUGCAGCGGCUCGACAUCGAGACAGUUGUUAAACCUUCGGGGCCUAAAGAUGAGCCUGCGUCUGAUUAGCUGGUUGGCGGGGUAACGGCCCACCAAGGCAACGAUCAGUAGCUGGUCUGAGAGGAUGAUCAGCCACACUGGAACUGAGACACGGUCCAGACUCCUACGGGAGGCAGCAGUAAGGAAUAUUGCUCAAUGGCCGAAAGGCUGAAGCAGCAACGCCGCGUGGAGGAUGAAAUACUUUUGUAUGUAAACUCCUGUGAGAAGGGAAAAUAUGCAGAUUUUCUGCGUUGAUUGUACCUUCAGAGGAAGCCCCGGCUAACUACGUG